GCUUGAUCUAAUCAAAUCCCAAUCAAUCUAACUUGAAUUUAAUUCAAUUAGAUUUGAUUUGAACCUCAUAGCUCAAUUAGAUUGAGCCAGAUAGCAAUCUAAUUGCCAAUUGAUCCUCCUACAAUUCACUAACACUUAGUGAAUCUUUCGAUCGCAACGUUUGCAUUAUCAAUCAUAUUGAUAAUUAAUUUUCAUUACGAUUCUCAAUCGUAACUCAACCAUCUGAUCAGUCAAGAACUUCUUUUGUGUGUGACCCCAUAGGUUCCAAUCUGUUUGAUAGUGAGAUAUACCAUGAUCUCCAUCAUAAUAUCAUUGAAAUUUCUUUCAAUGGAUUAGAACAAUUCUAACUCACACACAUUAAAAAUCAUCAAUCCAGAAUGAUCCUAGUGGAUUCUCACAAUCCACUAGUGGCGUCUAGAAGCAUGUGAUGGCAAUCCAGCAGAAUAGAAAAUAGAAUCUCUAGGUGUAGUUACCGUGUGAUUCAGUUCUUCUAUCAUGAGUUCUGACAAGAUGGAGGUUAUGAAAAUUCGUCAAACCCCUUCAUCUGUUAUAGGAAAAAUUUGAUUAGCUCAAGUCCAGAUGUGAUACUCAUGGAAAUUCUUUUCCAUCAAUCAUCUUGCGCAUUUUACUUCUACAGUAAAUCUACUGUAGCCAACGUCCAC
Molecule: long non-coding RNA, 662 nt
Filed under: Elaeis guineensis (African oil palm)
Lineage: Eukaryota; Viridiplantae; Streptophyta; Magnoliopsida; Arecales; Arecaceae
Description: long non-coding RNA (EGUI_LNC020327)
Source: RNAcentral